UAGAUUCUCAGCUAUCACAAUGGGAUUCUCAAACAAAUAAACCUGUAACUAAAAUAUCCUUUGGACAUUUUCCACUUUCAUUCUCAGCAUCCUCGCAUUCUGGGAAGAGCCUGAAAGAUAUUUUUCUUAAUCAUUCCAUAUCAGCUUAUUUGUGUGGGCAUCUUCAUGCUAGGUUUGGUAAGAAUUUAAAACGGCACCACCAGUCAACGUCAAGUCAAAACCUUUUGUCCUUGCAGAAAUUUUUUCAGUUAAAUAUGCAACAAAUACCUUCAGGAAGUGCAAAAAACUGUUCAUUUGGAGCUCCAUCAGCUGAGGAGUUCUGGGAGUGGGAGAUGGGUGACUGGAGGAAAAGUAGAGCCAUGCGGAUU
This 368-nucleotide unclassified non-coding RNA is filed under the name Hevea brasiliensis (rubber tree). The record is from RNAcentral. Lineage: Eukaryota; Viridiplantae; Streptophyta; Magnoliopsida; Malpighiales; Euphorbiaceae.